Molecule: long non-coding RNA, 739 nt
Filed under: Gossypium barbadense (sea-island cotton)
Lineage: Eukaryota; Viridiplantae; Streptophyta; Magnoliopsida; Malvales; Malvaceae
Description: long non-coding RNA (GBAR_LNC003672)
Source: RNAcentral
AGAAUAUAAAAUAAGGGAGGUAGGAUAAAGAUUUUGACAUCUAACCCUCUCUCAUUAUUAUUUAUCAUUAUGAAAAAAAGAGAGAGAAGAUUUUGGCAUUAAUUAGCCACAGAAACAAAAAGAAGAGGGAAAAGGAGAAAGGAAAAAGUAUGCCAAAAAGAAUAAAUUUGGCUUUUUGGCUUUGCAUUGCGUGCAUGGCUUUCCACAUCUAGCAAUGAUAUUGGGAAAGCCAAUUCUGCGAAUGAGAAACAGCCACGUUUUCAAAAUCCAGAGGGACACGUAAAUGGCUAGGUUCUGUUUAGUUCGAAUGGCUUGAGCCAGGGGUCUCCGAUCACUUGGUUCGUGGUCCAAUUCCCAGCCCCCUUUUAGGCUCACUUUUUGCUGUGACUGUGCCCAUCCCUCCCUCCCAUGGUUUGAUGGUGAGACCAGCGGUGUCUAUGGCUUUGCCUUUUUUUUUUUUUAAUCAUGGGAAGCCAACCACUUGAGUAAUUGGUGGCCAGCCUAGCAGAUUCUCCGUAUAUUCCCAACCCUACCCCUUCCAAAUAUAUCUCACUUAUUCAAAAAAUAAAAGAAAAUCAAAUAAAUGCUAGUUUAUUAUUGGUAUUUGAAUUAUGUCAAUGAAAAUUAUUUGUACAAGUGUUUUUAAAAAUCUUAAUUUAAAAUUUAAGUAUUCAAUACCGCUAUAAAAUAAAAAAUAAAAUGUUUGAUUUUAAAUAUGAUAUCGUUAAAUAAAAAUAAA